AGCUGGGUCCUGCGCAACGGAAAUUUACAAAUCCCGUCAGGUCCGGAAGGAAGCAGCGGUAGUAAAAUCCUCCGUGUGCCGCAGGGUAGCCUAGCUAUC
Molecule: non-coding RNA, 99 nt
Organism: Deltaproteobacteria bacterium DG_8
Lineage: Bacteria; Deltaproteobacteria
Source: Rfam